GGCGUGGGCCCCAGGGUCCAAAGAUUUUUUAACAAAAAUAGUAUUAAAGAGGGGUCCAAAAUUUUAAAAAUAAUUAAAGAUAGGAGCCAAAAAGUUUAAGUUGUCCAUAUAUACAUAUAAAAAAUAUUAAAAUUUAUUUUGCCCAAGGGCCCAAUAGUACCUUGAGCCCUGGAAUCACCGGAACCCGCCAUGCUUUGAGCUUUGUUUUUGUCUGUUCAGUAAAUCAGUCAUAUCUUCCUAACCGUUGAGAAUCUCGUGCAUCUAAGGACACCAUCGUGUUCCUCUCGUCGAGACGAAACCGUAGACACCGACCACGCUGCAAUCGGAGUCCGGAUGAAGCCGCACGCGCCGUCAGAAGUUCCGCACGCGCCGCCGUCAGAAGU
RNAcentral lists this long non-coding RNA (383 nucleotides) under Brassica napus (rape). RNAcentral describes it as "long non-coding RNA (BNAP_LNC009948)". The record is from RNAcentral. Lineage: Eukaryota; Viridiplantae; Streptophyta; Magnoliopsida; Brassicales; Brassicaceae.